AGUGAACGCUGGCGGCGUGCUUAACACAUGCAAGUCGAACGAGAACGGAUUAUAGCUUGCUAUAAUUGUCAGCUAAGUGGCGCGCGGGUGAGUAAUGUAUAGGUAAUAUGCCUCUUACUAAGGGAUAACAAAUGGAAACGUUUGCUAAUACCUUAUACUCCUUAUUAACAGAAGUUAAUAAGGGAAAGAUUUAUUGGUAAGAGAUUAGCCUGUAUUGUAUCAGUUAGUUGGUGGGGUAAUGGCUUACCAAGACUAUGACACAUAACUGGUUUGGGAGGAUGAUCAGUCACACUGGAACUGAGACACGGUCCAGACUCCUACGGGAGGCAGCAGUGGGGAAUAUUGCACGAUGGACGAAAGUCUGAUGCAGCAACGCCGCGUGGAGGAUGACACAUUUCGGUGCGUAAACUCCUUUUAUAUGAGAAGAUAAUGACGGUAUUAUAUGAAUAAGCACCGGCUAACUCCGUGCCAGCCGCCGCAGUAA
This 484-nucleotide ribosomal RNA is filed under the name uncultured bacterium. RNAcentral describes it as "partial 16S ribosomal RNA". It matches the Rfam family "Bacterial small subunit ribosomal RNA", at positions 29 to 523 of the family's 1533-position model. The record is from RNAcentral.